AUUGAACGCUGGCGGCAAGCUUUACACAUGCAAGUCGGACGGCAGCACAGAGAAGCUUGCUUCUUGGGUGGCGAGUGGCGAACGGGUGAGUAACAUAUCGGAACGUACCGGGCAGUGGGGGAUAACUAAUCGAAAGAUUAGCUAAUACCGCAUAUAUUCUGAGGAAGAAAGCAGGGGACCAUUUGGCCUUGCGCUGUUUGAGCGGCCGAUAUCUGAUUAGCUAGUUGGUGGGGUAAAGGCCUACCAAGGCGACGAUCAGUAGCGGGUCUGAGAGGAUGAUCCGCCACACUGGGACUGAGACACGGCCCAGACUCCUACGGGAGGCAGCAGUGGGGAAUUUUGGACAAUGGGCGCAAGCCUGAUCCAGCCAUGCCGCGUGUCUGAAGAAGGCCUUCGGGUUGUAAAGGACUUUUGUCAGGGAAGAAAAGGGCGGGUUAAUACCCCUGUCUGAUGACGGUACCUGAAGCAA
This 469-nucleotide ribosomal RNA is filed under the name Neisseria mucosa. RNAcentral describes it as "bacterial SSU rRNA". It matches the Rfam family "Bacterial small subunit ribosomal RNA", at positions 30 to 487 of the family's 1533-position model. Lineage: Bacteria; Pseudomonadati; Pseudomonadota; Betaproteobacteria; Neisseriales; Neisseriaceae. The record is from RNAcentral.